This 1439-nucleotide ribosomal RNA is filed under the name Clavibacter michiganensis subsp. michiganensis. Its description in RNAcentral is "bacterial SSU rRNA". It matches the Rfam family "Bacterial small subunit ribosomal RNA". Lineage: Bacteria; Bacillati; Actinomycetota; Actinomycetes; Micrococcales; Microbacteriaceae. The record is from RNAcentral.
AACGCUGGCGGCGUGCUUAACACAUGCAAGUCGAACGGUGAUGUCAGAGCUUGCUCUGGCGGAUCAGUGGCGAACGGGUGAGUAACACGUGAGUAACCUGCCCCCGACUCUGGGAUAACUGCUAGAAAUGGUAGCUAAUACCGGAUAUGACGAUUGGCCGCAUGGUCUGGUCGUGGAAAGAAUUUCGGUUGGGGAUGGACUCGCGGCCUAUCAGGUUGUUGGUGAGGUAAUGGCUCACCAAGCCUACGACGGGUAGCCGGCCUGAGAGGGUGACCGGCCACACUGGGACGAGACACGGCCCAGACUCCUACGGGAGGCAGCAGUGGGGAAUAUUGCACAAUGGGCGAAAGCCUGAUGCAGCAACGCCGCGUGAGGGAUGACGGCCUUCGGGUUGUAAACCUCUUUUAGUAGGGAAGAAGCGAAAGUGACGGUACCUGCAGAAAAAGCACCGGCUAACUACGUGCCAGCAGCCGCGGUAAUACGUAGGGUGCAAGCGUUGUCCGGAAUUAUUGGGCGUAAAGAGCUCGUAGGCGGUUUGUCGCGUCUGCUGUGAAAUCCCGAGGCUCAACCUCGGGUCUGCAGUGGGUACGGGCAGACUAGAGUGCGGUAGGGGAGAUUGGAAUUCCUGGUGUAGCGGUGGAAUGCGCAGAUAUCAGGAGGAACACCGAUGGCGAAGGCAGAUCUCUGGGCCGUAACUGACGCUGAGGAGCGAAAGCAUGGGGAGCGAACAGGAUUAGAUACCCUGGUAGUCCAUGCCGUAAACGUUGGGAACUAGAUGUGGGGACCAUUCCACGGUCUCCGUGUCGCAGCUAACGCAUUAAGUUCCCCGCCUGGGGAGUACGGCCGCAAGGCUAAAACUCAAAGGAAUUGACGGGGGCCCGCACAAGCGGCGGAGCAUGCGGAUUAAUUCGAUGCAACGCGAAGAACCUUACCAAGGCUUGACAUAUACCGGAAACAUGCAGAAAUGUGUGCCCCGCAAGGUCGGUAUACAGGUGGUGCAUGGUUGUCGUCAGCUCGUGUCGUGAGAUGUUGGGUUAAGUCCCGCAACGAGCGCAACCCUCGUUCUAUGUUGCCAGCACGUAAUGGUGGGAACUCAUAGGAGACUGCCGGGGUCAACUCGGAGGAAGGUGGGGAUGACGUCAAAUCAUCAUGCCCCUUAUGUCUUGGGCUUCACGCAUGCUACAAUGGCCGGUACAAAGGGCUGCGAUACCGUAAGGUGGAGCGAAUCCCAAAAAGCCGGUCUCAGUUCGGAUUGAGGUCUGCAACUCGACCUCAUGAAGUCGGAGUCGCUAGUAAUCGCAGAUCAGCAACGCUGCGGUGAAUACGUUCCCGGGCCUUGUACACACCGCCCGUCAAGUCAUGAAAGUCGGUAACACCCGAAGCCAGUGGCCUAACCGCAAGGGAGGAGCUGUCGAAGGUGGGAUCGGUGAUUAGGACUA